GGUGGCUUAGUGGUAGAGUGCUUGCCUCCAAUGCAUGAGGCUCUGGGUUCGAUUCCUCAGCACCA
Molecule: transfer RNA, 65 nt
Filed under: Dipodomys ordii (Ord's kangaroo rat)
Lineage: Eukaryota; Metazoa; Chordata; Mammalia; Rodentia; Heteromyidae
Rfam family: tRNA
About the family: Transfer RNA (tRNA) molecules are approximately 80 nucleotides in length. Their secondary structure includes four short double-helical elements and three loops (D, anti-codon, and T loops).
Source: Rfam by way of RNAcentral